RNAcentral lists this ribosomal RNA (550 nucleotides) under uncultured bacterium. RNAcentral describes it as "bacterial SSU rRNA". It matches the Rfam family "Bacterial small subunit ribosomal RNA", at positions 355 to 896 of the family's 1533-position model. The record is from RNAcentral.
UGAGGAAUAUUGCGCAAUGGGGGAAACCCUGACGGAGCAACGCCGCGUGGAGGAUGAAGGCCCUCGGGUCGUAAACUCCUGUCGAUCGGGAAGAAUGCGUCCGACCUAAUACGUCGGCACGUUGACUGUACCGGUGGAGGAAGCCACGGCUAACUCUGUGCCAGCAGCCGCGGUAAGACAGAGGUGGCAAGCGUUGUUCGGAAUUACUGGGCGUAAAGGGCGCGCAGGCGGUUCGUCAAGUCCCGUGUGAAAUCCCCCGGCUCAACCGGGGAACUGCGCGGGAAACUAGCAGACUUGAGUUCGGGAGAGGAAAGCGGAAUUCCGGGUGUAGCGGUGAAAUGCGCAGAUAUCCGGAGGAACACCGGUGGCGAAGGCGGCUUUCUGGACCGACACUGACGCUGAGGCGCGAAAGCUAGGGGAGCGAACGGGAUUAGAUACCCCGGUAGUCCUAGCCCUAAACGAUGAGCACUGGGUGUAGGGGGUAUGAACCCCCCCUGUGCCGAAGCUAACGCAUUAAGUGCUCCGCCUGGGGAGUACGGUCGCAAGGCUG